CACUCUCGCCUUCGCCGGCA
Molecule: microRNA, 20 nt
Filed under: Tribolium castaneum (red flour beetle)
Lineage: Eukaryota; Metazoa; Arthropoda; Insecta; Coleoptera; Tenebrionidae
Description: tca-miR-3897-5p
Source: miRBase by way of RNAcentral